CUGGAGUGGGGGAGGCUCGGUGUCGCCCCCUAGCUGUCCUCCUGAAAUAUUCUGAGGCCAACUCUACCCCUCCCCCUCCCCCACAGCAACACAGCCCUCUGAGGUCCAGCGGCAACCAACUUGACCCUGGCCUAAAGGUGACCACUCCUGUUGCCUGGAAGAGGUUGGGUCUGCUGGCAACUAGCACCUUCGCCAAACCAAGCUUCCAGGUCAGGGCUGCCAACCAACCCCAGACUGGUAGGGAAUGGAGGUGGUUGUGUCCCAGAGGUCAGGGCACACGGGAACGGUGGCAGAUGACACUGGGGUGACGGCCACCCACCUCAAUGGGGCGCUAGGCCCAGCUUCCAAUGUGGCAGAAGGUCGCUCCUGGAUGGACACAAGGCAAAGGCCAGGCCGCUGUGUGCACUUGUGUGGACUCCAGUCUCGUGGGACAAUCAAUCGUCCAGUGGGUCUGCUGUUCCCAAGAGACAGGAGAAGGGCCACAGGAACACUUGGUAUUCUUU
Molecule: long non-coding RNA, 503 nt
Filed under: Cricetulus griseus (Chinese hamster)
Lineage: Eukaryota; Metazoa; Chordata; Mammalia; Rodentia; Cricetidae
Description: lncRNA (ENSCGRG00015035811.1)
Source: RNAcentral